RNAcentral lists this long non-coding RNA (256 nucleotides) under Elaeis guineensis (African oil palm). RNAcentral's name for it is "long non-coding RNA (EGUI_LNC014516)". The record is from RNAcentral. Lineage: Eukaryota; Viridiplantae; Streptophyta; Magnoliopsida; Arecales; Arecaceae.
AUAUGCAUAUGUGAUAUGUGUAAAUGUAGCUAUGUGUGAGAUACAUAAUUUAGUUAUUAGAUCUAAAUAUACAUGAGAUGUAUAAAUGAUCAAAACUAUUUUAGAUUAGAUCUAAGGUGCAGGUUUGAUCAGAUUGGGUCAAACCAAGUUCUAUUGGUUAGAACUCAUCAACAAGAUUUUGACGCAAGGAGUCCUAUUCCUGGAGCAAUUUUCGUGUGGAUCACCUGUGGAGGGCAAACACUUAUAUGUCUAUGGA